CCCGUUCAGUAAAGAGAAAUUUCAGUGAAGAUUUGGAAACGCUAAAGUGAACACUUGAAAAAUAUACGACCACAAUACAAAUUUUGUUUAUAUUAUAGAGUAAAACGUAUUAAAAGAGUUAAAGCAGAGAGUUGAGAAUUUUUAGUUAAAAAGAUUGCGGAAAUCUAUCGAUUCCUUAUCUUUCAAUGCAAUUUUGCUGGUUAAAGGAAACGGUGAAAACUUUUCAAGUGUGAUGUACGCGUGAUUUUUUUUCUUAUGUUUUCUAUGUAGACGGAAGGAAUUUAUUGCAACUAACUUUUCUUUGUGUUUCACUGUCUCGUCCUGUUUUCCUCUCCAUCCUUCCUUUUCGCCUUUUAUUGUUCUUAGCACGUUUGUGGUUUUGAAAGUUUGUUUCUUUCAAAGGAUCGUCGUGACGAUUUGAAAUUGAUUAUCAACGCUGUUGAUAAAAGUUAACAAAUGCCGGAGGUUAGCUGCACCAUGAUAAUGCUUUGGAAUAUCGUUUUUUUUUAGAUCAAAAGCAAUUUACAAACCCACGCCGAUCAUGUUGAACUAUCAUUAGUGGGAAUUAAAAUCGCUAUCAAAGCUAAACAACGUGUAAAUGCUGGUAAAGCACUCAUCCGAUUCACAAUUUUAAAGAAUUCGACUAUCGUAUCAUGUGGAAGCUUCUCGCCAAUAUGAGCUUGAUUCUGCAUCAUUCUAGCACACAGUUUGGCGAGACAUUCAGAAGAAAAAAAUCUACACCAAAAAGGAAGAAAAACAAGCAACCUGCACCAAAAAGGAACAAGAACAAGCAACCUUGCCUGUCAGUGCGCAACUAAAAGUAACCAUAGUUCGACACAAUAUUGUAUAACAGAAAUAGAUGGCAUAGAUUUGGACGAUAGCUCAACGAUAGCGUAUGCGUUUGCACGAUAUCAAGCGUAAAACGUCACACUUUAGCUCUCCUUCGCAUUACUUUAUUACACGUCCACCAAUAAUACAACAUAUAUUCCAUUGUAAAUGCAUCGAACGAGGAGUCCAAUUCGAUACGAAGGCAAUGGAGCACCAUAGGACCAAAAUGUGAUUGUAUCAUUUUGAUCUUUCGUAUCGUAUGAUAGCUCGAGAGAACCGCAAACCGACCCGAGUACGAAAAAUUUAGACAAUAUUUUAUAAUAAACAGCCAACAGCACUACGUCUAGUGAAGAACAAAUAAUUUUCCAUUGUUAUGCUUAUGUUUCAAGAUGUAGAAAUAA
This is a long non-coding RNA of Glossina fuscipes, 1229 nucleotides long. RefSeq lists it as uncharacterized. The transcript has 3 exons. Lineage: Eukaryota; Metazoa; Arthropoda; Insecta; Diptera; Glossinidae. The record is from RefSeq and is a predicted model, not a curated record.